AGUGAACGCUGGCGGUAGGCCUAACACAUGCAAGUCGAACGGCAGCACAGUAAGAGCUUGCUCUUACGGGUGGCGAGUGGCGGACGGGUGAGGAAUAAAUCGGAAUCUACUUUUUCGUGGGGGAUAACGUAGGGAAACUUACGCUAAUACCGCAUCCGACCUACGGGUGAAAGCAGGGGAUCUUCGGACCUUGCGCGAUUGAAUGAGCCGAUGUCGGAUUAGCUAGUUGGCGGGGUAAAGGCCCACCAAGGCGACGAUCCGUAGCUGGUCUGAGGGGGGGGUGGCCGCAGCUGAACGGGAGCGCCGGCCCGGAGCCUACGGUAGGCAGCAGUGGGGAAUAUUGGACAAUGGGCGCAAGCCUGGUCCAGCCAUACCGCGUGGGUGAAGAAGGCCUUCGGGUUGUAAAGCCCUUUUGUUGGGAAAGAAAAGCAGCAGGUUAAUACCCCGCUGUUCUGACGGUACCCAAAGAAUAAGCACCGGCUAACUUCGUG
RNAcentral lists this ribosomal RNA (491 nucleotides) under uncultured bacterium. RNAcentral's name for it is "partial 16S ribosomal RNA". It matches the Rfam family "Bacterial small subunit ribosomal RNA", at positions 29 to 507 of the family's 1533-position model. The record is from RNAcentral.